AAAACAUUUCAAUCGAGCCAAAAUAAGACUUACUUUUUGCUGAUUUAUUUUUGAAUUUUCAAUUUGCUUAAAAUGUUCAAGAUUUACAUUUUCAUUUUUAACUGGGACUUUUUUUUUUAAUUGUGAAGUUGCCCACAAGCCAAAAAAUCCAUUUUUCACCCAGUUCUACUGUGAAGACUCCCAUUUACUUCAAUAGAAAUUGAAUCAUGGCCAAAAUCAAGCUCCCACUGCCAGGGCAGCAAAUCUCUUGGCUUUCUACUCUGGUUUUGCAAAGAGAUUGUCUGUCCGCUUCUCUGGAUACCAUCAGCACAUUUAAACACCUCCCACAUAUUUAAAACUAUAAAUAGCAACAGUAGUCUCUUUUCAGCCUGCAGGAGAGCUGCAUUAAAUUACUUGUAGCUCAGGGAAGUGUGAGUGGGCAAAGUGGGACACUGUACAAAUUGACUUUGCUUUCUUAUGAUAGUCUAAUAAAUUAGUUUAGCAUUCAGUGUGGAAAGUUUGGAAGAGACAUUUGCUAUUUUAAUAGAAGCAUGGAGCAAUGCGCUUUAUCUAACCCAGGCACAGCUCGGCCAGAGGUUUCACAGUGCAAGGAGUUGGAUCACAGAACAGGGACUUCAAAAGAGACCAACAGCUCUGUGCCAUCCAGAGGUGAAAGUGAGGCUCCACAGGAUGAGCUCACAAAUUUGAGUGGAACCAAGAUGGAACAACGGGUGAAAUAUGUGGAAGACAAACUCAGGGAAAUGAAUGCUCGAUUUGAAGGCGCAGAGAAACGACUAGAGGUUUUGCAAGAACGGCUCAGUCAGGAAGCAGCAAGUGAGACUGAUUGCUGUGGCUCCAGAUCACAGGAAGCCUCCAACAAUAGUCAGUGCUUCGCUCAGAACCCUGGAUUGGAGCCUGUCUUGGCCAAUGCAAUGAGAAGUCAUAAGUUCUCUGAGAACCUGAAUGACCCUUGUCAAGAAGCAGAUGUGCUGGAAAUGUACAAUGGGCUCAGGACACAUGAAUGGGAGAAAGCCAAAUGUGCUGCAAGUGGCUCUGCCUUCCCAAUGACAUAUGAAAAAGGUAGCACCAUAAUUAAGGCUGUGUUUUCCAUAUGUGAAGAAGAUCUGUCACAAAGACUGAUGCGAAUUUUUGAACUCCUUGAGAUUCCAGUUUCGAAGAAAACCACAAGCCUCUUUGACAGCCAACAGCUGCCCCCUGGGCUGGCAAGAGAGAUAAAGAAUCACCUUAAACAUCUCUAUUUUAACUAUGGAGAAGACUUUUACCAAGCCAAGAGUAGGCCUUCACUUCCUCCUGAUCUACAGAAGUUUCAGCCACUUGUACAUUUCACAGCAGAGUGCUACAAAAUUUACUGUUUGUUGCUUCUUCAGAACCCGCCCAUUAAAGCUGUGUGGCCCACAGAGGAAAGAAUUCCAAUCUCUUGCAUACAGCAUGUGGACAAUAAAAACGUGGAGGAUAGGAUGCUGUUAAACUUUCUGUGGCCCGUGCUGGCAUGUGGGAGACUAGUAUUUAAGAAAGCUGUAAUCUAUGAUUAAAUGGAAUGGCUGUUUGGAAUCUGAUUAUACCUCUGAGUUAUAAAACAAUUAAAAAAAUAGUGAAAGAGUAGCCUUGCAGUUUGCGUCUUUUUUUAUUCAGAAAAUGCUCAGGUUUUAGCUCUUGUAGCAUAUACUCCUGGAAGGGGAUGUGACAUAGAGACCACUGGUGCCUGCUGGCAAAGCGUUCACUGCUUUAUAGCAGCAAAUCCUAACAGGCUUGACAAGCUCACUAUACCUUGCACAUAGCUUUCAUAGUAGUUACCCAUAAAGAAUGCCAUGAGAGGUCUCAAAACCAUGGUCACGCUGGUCAUUAAUAGGGUUGUGAAAUGUAUGUACAGAUAUUAUGUGAGGGGUUAUAUGCCUGUACUAGAAAUAUGUUUAGAUUUGAUAUCAAGGUAUGAGUCACCAACCAAAGAGAAAGGCAGGUUUUCUUCCAAACAGGAGAUAAUAUGUGUCUCUCUCUGCCAAAAUGUAAAUUCAGAUUGUAAGUUAACGCAGUGGAAUCCCCAUCUACACAGGAAAUCAACAGAGCCAUGGGAAGUCAAUAGAGAAGAGCACACUGGAAAAAACAAGCAAUGGGGGAGUGAUAGCACCCCUGACUAGGGACAAUAAACUUUGGGAGAUAUAGGAAGAAGACA
Molecule: long non-coding RNA, 2170 nt
Organism: Gopherus agassizii (Agassiz's desert tortoise)
Lineage: Eukaryota; Metazoa; Chordata; Testudines; Testudinidae
Source: Ensembl